GACGAACGCUGGCGGCGUGCUUAACACAUGCAAGUCGAACGAAGAGCGAUGGAAGCUUGCUUCUAUCAAUCUUAGUGGCGAACGGGUGAGUAACGCGUAAUCAACCUGCCCUUCAGAGGGGGACAACAGUUGGAAACGACUGCUAAUACCGCAUACGAUCUAACCUCGGCAUCGAGGAUAGAUGAAAGGUGGCCUCUACAUGUAAGCUAUCACUGAAGGAGGGGAUUGCGUCUGAUUAGCUAGUUGGAGGGGUAACGGCCCACCAAGGCGAUGAUCAGUAGCCGGUCUGAGAGGAUGAACGGCCACAUUGGGACUGAGACACGGCCCAGACUCCUACGGGAGGCAGCAGUGGGGAAUCUUCCGCAAUGGACGAAAGUCUGACGGAGCAACGCCGCGUGAGUGAUGACGGCCGUCGGGUUGUAAAGCUCUGUUAAUCGGGACGAAAGGCCUUCUUGCGAAUAGUGAGAAGGAUUGACGGUACCGGAAUAGAAAGCCACGGCUAACUACGUG
Molecule: ribosomal RNA, 510 nt
Filed under: uncultured bacterium
Lineage: Bacteria
Description: partial 16S ribosomal RNA
Rfam family: Bacterial small subunit ribosomal RNA
Source: RNAcentral